Manihot esculenta (cassava) is the source of this 1177-nucleotide RNA transcript. It is a transcript of the gene named protein THYLAKOID ASSEMBLY 8-like, chloroplastic, with no coding region annotated. The transcript has 4 exons. NCBI's taxonomy places the organism in Eukaryota, Viridiplantae, Streptophyta, Magnoliopsida, Malpighiales, Euphorbiaceae. The record is from RefSeq and is a predicted model, not a curated record.
UUUCACAUCAAAUGCAUGUGGCUUUGACAUCGUCGUUUUGACUCCAGAGUUCCAGUAUCCUAUCAACUCUGGCCCUUUCGCCCGCCUUCUAUACCGCGGCCAUGAAAUCUACUCUAAUGGGUUCUCUCAAAUUCCAGUUUCCUCCACUGAAAAUCUGCCAAAUUCCCCAGAAACUCCACUUUCAGGCAUCCAUUAUCACCUGCAGCCUGAGGGGAGGGCCAAGGAAACCCUUAUGGAGGUCAAAGAGAUUAUCAACAGAAGCUAUACAAGCAAUUCAAUCCCUGAAAUUGGCCAAAUCAUCCACUCUCAGAUUGGAAGAGGUUUUCAACAGUAAACUCUCCAGGCUCCUCAAAGCUGACUUGCUAGAUACACUUGAUGUCUUGCAAAACCAAAAUGAAUUGGAUUUGGCUCUCAAGGUUUUCGAGUUUGUGCAAAAGGAAGUAUGGUAUAAACCAGAUAUAUCAUUGUAUCAAAGCAUGAUUCAAAUGUUGGGGAAGAACAAAUUGAUUGAAGUGGCUGAAGAAUUCUUUUCUAAAGUAGAAGAGGAAGGGUUGAAGCCUGAUACAAGAACAUAUACUGAAAUGAUUGGGGCUUAUCUACGAGCGGAUAUGAUUGAUAAGGCAAUGGAAACAUAUGGCAACAUGAAGGCUUCAGGUUGUACCCCAGAUAAAUUAACCUUUACAAUCUUGAUUAGGAACCUUGAGGAUGCUGGAAGAGAAGAGCUUGUGUCAUCUAUAAAGAAAGAAUGUGGUGAAUAUAUGGAUUAUCCUGAGAAAUUCCUUGAAGAAGUUGAGCAGAAAAAACAUGUAAAAAGGCAAACGCUGAAACUUGUUUGAAGACUUCACCAAUUCUUGUGUUGCCAAGAUAUCAUGGUUGAUUUACUGUGGUCAGGGACUUUGCUAAGCUCUCAGUUUUCAUGAAGCAUUUUUAAUUUGGACGUCUCAAAGCCACCUAGCAGAAGAGCACAUGCACAUGAGAGUUGUUGAGGCAACAAAGAAUCAUUUGACAAAUUGGCUUUUGCACCACGUUUACUUGUGUGCUCGUGGAGGGAGAAAAAUAAUUGCAGAGAAAUAGAGUAUUUCAAGCAUGCAACUGUUAGUGCAGAGGAUGUAACUGUGAUUCUCACCGUCAAAAGAAAACUGGUGUAUAUGUACACAAGGAAAUCUGGUAAUGCAUC